This 451-nucleotide ribosomal RNA is filed under the name uncultured bacterium. RNAcentral describes it as "partial 16S ribosomal RNA". It matches the Rfam family "Bacterial small subunit ribosomal RNA", at positions 28 to 507 of the family's 1533-position model. The record is from RNAcentral.
GAUGAACGCUGGCGGCGUGCCUAACACAUGCAAGUCGAGCGGCAGCGAGGGGUGCUUGCACCCUGUCGGCGAGCGGCGGACGGCUGAGUAACGCGUGGGAACGUGCCCCAAAGUGAGGAAUAACUGCCCGAAAGGGUAGCUAAUACCGCAUAUUAUCUUCGGAUCAAAGGAUUUAUCCGCUUUGGGAGCGGCUCGCGUCGGAUUAGGUAGUUGGUGAGGUAAUGGCUCACCAAGCCGACGAUCCGUAGCUGGUCUGAGAGGAUGACCAGCCAGACUGGAAAUGAGACACGGUCCAGACUCCUACGGGAGGAAGCAGUGAGGAAUCGUCCACAAUGGGCGAAAGACUGAGGGAGCAACGCCGCGUGCAGGACGAAGGCCUUCGGGUUGUAAACUGCUUUUAUAAGUGAGGAAUAUGACGGUAACUUAUGAAUAAGGAUCGGCUAACUACGUG